This is a long non-coding RNA of Crotalus tigris (Tiger rattlesnake), 577 nucleotides long. RefSeq lists it as uncharacterized. NCBI's taxonomy places the organism in Eukaryota, Metazoa, Chordata, Lepidosauria, Squamata, Viperidae. The record is from RefSeq and is a predicted model, not a curated record. The transcript has 2 exons.
UGAUCAGCAUUUGAUCCUCUUUGGGCAAAGUCCAAGAAGACUUGAAGAACCUGAAGUGUACGAGGGGAGGAGGGGGAAAAGAUACUUGGAAGAAGCAGCCGUCUGAAGAACAACUUUUAUAAACAGGAUGUCUGCCGUACCCAACCGGAGGGGCUGUUUACAGCUACAGUAUGAGAACUUAUAUGUAAAAGGGAAGGAAGCGGGCUCGCUUCCUUUUUCUCGUUCUUCUUUCCUUUCGCUACUAACUUAUCUCACCAACAUCCCCAGCCCGAGGACUCCUCCAAUCACCUGGCUCUUCCUACCCCGGAUCAAGCUACCGCCUUCUGAGAAGGGCCCUGCCCUCCCGCGGGAGGAGAUGGUGGGGAAGCAAAAUGGAGCGGAAGGGAGGGCAGGAUAUAUCUCUGUUCCAAGAUUUCAACCGAAGGUGAUUGUACCCGACGUCAGCCUCUGUCUUUUACCGCAUCACCAGGGAGUAGCGCAUUAAAAACAUAAGGAAGAAUUGCGACUUGGCUUAUAAAAUGUUUUUCAAACUGUUGCCACUGCAGCUUCUAUCUUAAUCAAAUUCAGGAUUUACCUA